RNAcentral lists this ribosomal RNA (253 nucleotides) under uncultured bacterium. Its description in RNAcentral is "partial 16S ribosomal RNA". It matches the Rfam family "Bacterial small subunit ribosomal RNA", at positions 524 to 776 of the family's 1533-position model. The record is from RNAcentral.
UACAUGGGGUGCAAACGUUGCUCGGAAUUAUUGGGCGUAAAGCGCGCGUAGGCGGUUACUUAAGUCGGAUGUGAAAGCCCUCGGCUUAACUGAGGAAGUGCACCCGAAACUGAGUAGCUGGAGUACGAAAGAGGGUCGCGGAAUUCCCGGUGUAGAGGUGAAAUUCGUAGAUAUCUGGAGGAAUACCGGUGGCGAAGGCGGCAUCCUGGACUGGCAUUGACGCUGAACAGCGAAAGCUAGGGGAGCAAACGGG